GGCGAUGGUCAAACGGUCAUCACGGGGGGCUUUCAACCCCCUGUUUCGGGUUCGAAUCCCGCUCCCGCCG
RNAcentral lists this transfer RNA (70 nucleotides) under Fasciola hepatica (liver fluke). It matches the Rfam family "tRNA". Rfam says of the family: Transfer RNA (tRNA) molecules are approximately 80 nucleotides in length. The record is from Rfam by way of RNAcentral. Lineage: Eukaryota; Metazoa; Platyhelminthes; Trematoda; Plagiorchiida; Fasciolidae.